This 662-nucleotide ribosomal RNA is filed under the name Alexandrium tamarense. RNAcentral describes it as "LSU rRNA". It matches the Rfam family "Eukaryotic large subunit ribosomal RNA", at positions 47 to 651 of the family's 3401-position model. The record is from RNAcentral. Lineage: Eukaryota; Dinophyceae; Gonyaulacales; Pyrocystaceae.
UAAGUGGUGGAAAUUAAACCAAAUGGGAUAUCUUUAGUAAUUGCGAAUGAACAAGGAUAUGCUUAGCUUGACAAAUGGAGCUAUUGGCUUUGAAUUGUAUUGUGGAAAUGUAUUACCAACAGAGGUGCAGGUGCCAGCCUAUUGAAAUAAAGCGUCAAUGAGGGUGAGAAUCCUGUUUGUCAUGUGCAGCCCUUUGUGCACGGUGUAUAUUUGCUGAGUCACACUCCUUGGCAUUGGAAUGCAAAGUGGGUGGUAAGUUUCAUGUAAAGGUAAACAUGCAAUUGAGACUGAUAGCACACAAGUACCAUGAGGGAAAUAUGAAAAGGACUUUGAAAAGAGAAUUAAAUGAGUUUGUAUUUGCUGAACACAAAGUAAACAGACUUGAUUUGCUUGGUGGGAGUGUUGCACUUGCUUGACAAGAGCUUUGGGCUGUGGGUGUAAUGAUUCUUUCUUUGCAUGCCAGUUUCUAUGUGUACAUCUGAUUACCUUUGCACAUGAAUGAUAAGUCUCCUGUGGGGGGUGGAUUGCAUGUGCAUGUAAUGAUUUGUGUUUUGAUAAAUGUGUCUGGUGUAUGUGUGUGUUCCUGUGCUUGGGGAUGCUUCCUUCCUUGGACUUACAAGCCCUGACACACACAUGCUGGCAAAAUGCUUCUGCUUGACCCG